UAUGUGGAGUUACUAGACUCCACAUAUACACUCAAAGAAGUUGAGU
Molecule: non-coding RNA, 46 nt
Organism: Oryctolagus cuniculus (rabbit)
Lineage: Eukaryota; Metazoa; Chordata; Mammalia; Lagomorpha; Leporidae
Source: Rfam